MicroRNA from Caenorhabditis elegans, 23 nucleotides. NCBI's taxonomy places the organism in Eukaryota, Metazoa, Nematoda, Chromadorea, Rhabditida, Rhabditidae. The record is from Ensembl.
UUUGUUCGCGUUGCUCAACCACA